CGAGCGUUAUUCGGAAUUAUUGGGCGUAAAGGGCGCGUAGGCGGCUGUACAAGUCAAAGGUGAAAUCCCUCGGCUCAACUGAGGAACUGCCUUUGAAACUGUACGGCUUGAGGCCGGGAGGGGGUAGCGGAAUUCCCAGUGUAGCGGUGAAAUGCGUAGAUAUUGGGAGAAACACCAGUGGCGAAGGCGGCUACCUGGACCGGUUCUGACGCUGAUGCGCGAAAGCGUGGGUAGCAAACAGG
Molecule: ribosomal RNA, 242 nt
Filed under: uncultured bacterium
Lineage: Bacteria
Description: partial 16S ribosomal RNA
Rfam family: Bacterial small subunit ribosomal RNA
Source: RNAcentral